Molecule: ribosomal RNA, 1341 nt
Filed under: uncultured bacterium
Lineage: Bacteria
Description: partial 16S ribosomal RNA
Rfam family: Bacterial small subunit ribosomal RNA
Source: RNAcentral
GACGAAUGCUGGCGGCGUGCUUAACACAUGCAAGUCGAACGGUAAGGCUCCAGCUUGCUGGGGUACACGAGUGGCGAACGGGUGAGUAACACGUGGGUGACCUGCCCUGCACUUCGGGAUAAGCCUGGGAAACUGGGUCUAAUACCGGAUAGGACUGCACCGUGAGGGUGUGGUGGAAAGUUUUUUCGGUGUGGGAUGGGCCCGCGGCCUAUCAGCUUGUUGGUGGGGUAAUGGCCUACCAAGGCGGCGACGGGUAGCCGGCCUGAGAGGGUGGACGGCCACAUUGGGACUGAGACACGGCCCAGACUCCUACGGGAGGCAGCAGUGGGGAAUAUUGCACAAUGGGCGGAAGCCUGAUGCAGCGACGCCGCGUGGGGGAUGACGGCCUUCGGGUUGUAAACUCCUUUCACCAUCGACGAAGGGUUUCUGACGGUAGAUGGAGAAGAAGCACCGGCUAACUACGUGCCAGCAGCCGCGGUAAUACGUAGGGUGCGAGCGUUGUCCGGAAUUACUGGGCGUAAAGAGCUCGUAGGUGGUUUGUCGCGUCGUCUGUGAAAUUCCGGGGCUUAACUCCGGGCGUGCAGGCGAUACGGGCAUAACUUGAGUACUGUAGGGGAGACUGGAAUUCCUGGUGUAGCGGUGAAAUGCGCAGAUAUCAGGAGGAACACCGGUGGCGAAGGCGGGUCUCUGGGCAGUAACUGACGCUGAGGAGCGAAAGCAUGGGGAGCGAACAGGAUUAGAUACCCUGGUAGUCCAUGCCGUAAACGGUGGGCGCUAGGUGUGGGUUUCCUUCCACGGGAUCCGUGCCGUAGCUAACGCAUUAAGCGCCCCGCCUGGGGAGUACGGCCGCAAGGCUAAAACUCAAAGGAAUUGACGGGGGCCCGCACAAGCGGCGGAGCAUGUGGAUUAAUUCGAUGCAACGCGAAGAACCUUACCUGGGCUUGACAUAUACAGGAUCGCGCCAGAGAUGGUGUUUCCCUUGUGGCUUGUAUACAGGUGGUGCAUGGUUGUCGUCAGCUCGUGUCGUGAGAUGUUGGGUUAAGUCCCGCAACGAGCGCAACCCUUGUCUUAUGUUGCCAGCACGUUGUGGUGGGGACUCGUAAGAAACUGCCGGGGUUAACUCGGAGGAAGGUGGGGAUGACGUCAAAUCAUCAUGCCCCUUAUGUCCAGGGCUUCACACAUGCUACAAUGGUCGGUACAGUGGGUUGCCAGUCCGUGAGGGCGAGCUAAUCCCGCAAAGCCGGUCUCAGUUCGGAUCGGGGUCUGCAACUCGACCCCGUGAAGUCGGAGUCGCUAGUAAUCGCAGAUCAGCAACGCUGCGGUGAAUACGUUCCCGGGCCU